AUGAAAAGGUGGACUAGGGAUGCGAGGGAUGUUCUCCCAUCACACCUGCAGAUAUACCAGCGAGACCAUGCUGGGAGCAGGACGAUGACGCAUCGGCACACAGCUUUGUACGUGCACGCGAUGGAGCUGGUUCGGCUGGGCAACGCAUCAAUAGAGGCAUACGAGAAAGGCAUGAAGAUAAUUAGGGAUGGGAUUGUUGCGUUGGCUGAAUAUGAUGAUCAGAGAGAUGGCUUGGCCUUGGAGGACAGGGUUCCUUUGGCAAACAUGGAGGCAAGGCAAUGCGAAGGGGCAACACCGGAAAUGGCUGGCCAUGGAGGAGAAAUGAAUGUGGAUACUUUGGCUGGCCUCGAUGCACCAGAGAGGAGGAGGAAACUUGGUCGACCAACGAGCAGCAGAGAAAAGGCGCCGUAUGAAGAGUUGAGUAAGAGAACCAGGUAUUGCAGCAUUUGCCGCGGAAAAGGGCACAAGAAGACGACUUGCCCGGAAAGAGGUGAUCUUCCAAAAAAACCGAGGAAAGAAGCUAAAUGCAGCAACUGCGGUGUUGCCGGUCACAGGCGGAACACCUGCACUAAUGCGGAGGCUGUUAAACUGCAGGCGUGCCCAUGA
RNAcentral lists this ribosomal RNA (606 nucleotides) under Triticum aestivum (bread wheat). Its description in RNAcentral is "partial small subunit ribosomal RNA". Lineage: Eukaryota; Viridiplantae; Streptophyta; Magnoliopsida; Poales; Poaceae. The record is from RNAcentral.